Long non-coding RNA from Manihot esculenta (cassava), 795 nucleotides. RefSeq lists it as uncharacterized. The transcript is spliced from 3 exons. The record is from RefSeq and is a predicted model, not a curated record. NCBI's taxonomy places the organism in Eukaryota, Viridiplantae, Streptophyta, Magnoliopsida, Malpighiales, Euphorbiaceae.
UCUACCAUUAGGGAAAUGAUUAAGUCAAAGAAAUAGAAAAGGAACUUUAGUUUAAGCACAGAAAUUCCAAGGAGAAAGAGGAGUUAAUUAAUUCAUGAACCUCAAUGACAAUAACCCAUUAUUGGAUCUUUCAACGAGAGCAAAAGGAACCGAACCAGAAAGUUUGUUUCCUGCUAAAUUCCUGCAGUUUUAGUUAAAUGGUAUCAUGUCCCUUCUAAUGGUUGCAGAAUUGUAGGACAAAGGAAGAAUAACAUACAAAGUCCUCAAAUUUGGCAGUUCUGACAGAAAUUCAGACCAAGAACUCACAAGGAAAUAAUUCUUGGGGGAUCAUAACCAUUAUCAUUGCAAUACAAGCCAUCCCAAGAUGGAAGAGGUAUGCAUGGAUCUCCUCGCCAGACUUUGUUCACGUUAUAGAUUGACUUGAUGUCUUCAAUUGCAUUAACUAGAUGAUCAAUACAAGUGAGUCAAGCUUCAGCAAAACAAAUGUAGGAUAUCUGAAAUUAUAUGAUGAAAUAUACCGUCUUCUUUGUCGGUUGGUUGCUGCCAGAAAUCUUUCACUAAAUAUAUUUCCAGUGCAUUCAAAAUGGGAGGAAGGGUAGAAUUUGGCAACUUGUGGAGACUGAAGCUAAGCUUGGCUCCUCUUACCGACUCAAUAGUUUCAAUCUCAGCAAAGUGCAUGUAAAUGAACAAUUUUUCAUUGGGAUCGCCAAUAUCGAAUCCAAAGUUGAGUGGUUUAUCUGCAUUUAUGGGCUGGACAGCAGUUUGCAUCACCUUUGAUGGUAGAUUGAAGUCAGU